UGUGUGUGUGUGUGUGUGUAUGUAUCUAUAUAUAUAUAUAUAUAUAUAGAUAUAUACACACACACACACAUACACU
Non-coding RNA from Pelobates cultripes (western spadefoot toad), 76 nucleotides. Lineage: Eukaryota; Metazoa; Chordata; Amphibia; Anura; Pelobatidae. The record is from the annotation of a GenBank genome assembly.